RNAcentral lists this ribosomal RNA (457 nucleotides) under uncultured bacterium. RNAcentral describes it as "bacterial SSU rRNA". It matches the Rfam family "Bacterial small subunit ribosomal RNA", at positions 8 to 502 of the family's 1533-position model. The record is from RNAcentral.
AGAGUUUGAUCCUGGCUCAGAACGAACGCUGGCGGCACGCCUAACACAUGCAAGUCGAACGAUAAGGUUCCUUCGGGAACUGGACAGUGGCGGACGAGUGAGUAUCGCGUGGGAACCUACCUAUCAGUACGGAACAACAGUUAGAAAUGACUGCUAAUACCGUAUACGCCCCUUGGGGGAAAGAUUCAUCGCUGAUAGAUGGGCCCGCGUUAGAUUAGCUAGAUGGUGAGGUAAUGGCUCACCAUGGCGACGAUCUAUAGCUGGUUUGAGAGGAUGAUCAGCCACACUGGGACUGAGACACGGCCCAGACUCCUACGGGAGGCAGCAGUGGGGAAUAUUGGACAAUGGGGGCAACCCUGAUCCAGCGAUGCCGCGUGUGUGAUGAAGGCCUUAGGGUUGUAAAACACUUUCACGAGGGAUGAUAAUGACAGUACCUCGAGAAGAAGCUCCGCUAACU